Molecule: ribosomal RNA, 450 nt
Filed under: uncultured bacterium
Lineage: Bacteria
Description: partial 16S ribosomal RNA
Rfam family: Bacterial small subunit ribosomal RNA
Source: RNAcentral
GUUAGGAAUAUUCGUCAAUGGGGGAAACCCUGAACGAGCGAUGCCGCGUGAAUGAUGACAGCCCUUCGGGUUGUAAAAUUCUGUUGUUUGGAAAGAACAGAGAGAUUAGGAAAUGAGUCUCUUUUGACGGUACCAUUCAAGAAAGCUCCGGCUAACUACGUGCCAGCAGCCGCGGUAAUACGUAGGGAGCGAGCGUUAUCCGGAUUUAUUGGGCGUAAAGCGUGCGCAGCUGGCUUAUUAAGUAUGAAAUUAAAGCCCGGGGCUUAACUCCGGUUCGUGUCGUAAACUGGUAGGCUUGAGUGUGGGAGAGGUAAGUGGAAUUUCUAGUGUAGCGGUAAAAUGCGUAGAUAUUAGAAGGAACCUCAGUGGCGAAGGUGACUUACUGGGCCAUCACUGACAGUCAUGCGCGAAAGCGUGGGGAGCGAAUAGGAUUAGAAACCCCAGUAGUCC